RNAcentral lists this ribosomal RNA (970 nucleotides) under metagenomes. Its description in RNAcentral is "bacterial LSU rRNA". It matches the Rfam family "Bacterial large subunit ribosomal RNA", at positions 1957 to 2925 of the family's 2925-position model. The record is from RNAcentral.
UAGCGAAAUUCCUUGUCGGGUAAGUUCCGACCUGCACGAAUGGCGUAACGACUUCUCGACUGUCUCAACCAUAGGCUCGGCGAAAUUGCACUACGAGUAAAGAUGCUCGUUACGCGCGGCAGGACGGAAAGACCCCGGGACCUUUACUACAGCUUGAUAUUGGUGUUCGGUUCGGCUUGUGUAGGAUAGGUGGGAGACGGUGAAGCUGGCACGCCAGUGUCGGUGGAGUCAACGUUGAAAUACCACUCUGGUCGAAUUGGAUGUCUAACCUCGGUCCGUGAUCCGGAUCAGGGACAGUGUCAGGUGGGUAGUUUAACUGGGGCGGUUGCCUCCCAAAAUGUAACGGAGGCGCCCAAAGGUUCCCUCAGCCUGGUUGGCAAUCAGGUGUCGAGUGCAAGUGCACAAGGGAGCUUGACUGUGAGACAGACAUGUCGAGCAGGGACGAAAGUCGGGACUAGUGAUCCGGCACUGGCUUGUGGAAGCGGUGUCGCUCAACGGAUAAAAGGUACCCCGGGGAUAACAGGCUGAUCUUGCCCAAGAGUCCAUAUCGACGGCAAGGUUUGGCACCUCGAUGUCGGCUCGUCACAUCCUGGGGCUGGAGUAGGUCCCAAGGGUUGGGCUGUUCGCCCAUUAAAGUGGCACGCGAGCUGGGUUUAGAACGUCGUGAGACAGUUCGGUCCCUAUCCGCCGCGCGCGCAGGAGACUUGAGAAGAGCUGUCCCUAGUACGAGAGGACCGGGACGGACGAACCUCUGGUGUGACAGUUGUCGUGCCAACGGCACUGCUGUUUAGCUACGUUCGGCAGGGAUAACCGCUGAAAGCAUCUAAGCGGGAAGCUCGCUUCAAGAUGAGGUCUCCCACAGGGUCAACCUGGUAAGGCCCCCCACUAGACCAUGGGGUUGAUAGGCCGGAAGUGGAAGCCCAGCAAUGGGUGUAGCUGACCGGUACUAAUAGGCCGAGGGCUUGACUUC